RNAcentral lists this ribosomal RNA (481 nucleotides) under uncultured Methanosaeta sp. Its description in RNAcentral is "bacterial SSU rRNA". It matches the Rfam family "Archaeal small subunit ribosomal RNA", at positions 856 to 1338 of the family's 1478-position model. Lineage: Archaea; Methanobacteriati; Methanobacteriota; Methanomicrobia; Methanotrichales; Methanotrichaceae. The record is from RNAcentral.
UCAAAUGAAUCGACGGGGAGCACCACAACGGGUGGAGCUUGCGGUUUAAUUGGAUUCAACGCCGGAAAUCUUACCGGGACCGACAGCAAUAUGAAGGCCAGGCUGAAGACUUUGCCGGAUUAGCUGAGAGGUGGUGCAUGGCCGUCGUCAGUUCGUACUGUGAAGCAUCCUGUUAAGUCAGGCAACGAGCGAGACCCACGCCCACAGUUGCCAGCGUACUCUCUGGAGUGACGGGUACACUGUGGGACCGCCGCUGCUAAAGCGGAGGAAGGAAUGGGCAACGGUAGGUCAGUAUGCCCCGAAUAUCCCGGGCUACACGCGAGCUACAAUGGUUGGUACAAUGGGUAUCUACCCCGAAAGGGGACGGGAAUCUCCUAAAACCAAUCUUAGUUCGGAUUGAGGGCUGCAACUCGCCCUCAUGAAGCUGGAAUCCGUAGUAAUCGCGUUUCAACAGAACGCGGUGAAUACGUCCCUGCUCCUU